GGUUCGACCACAUAUCCAAGGGCACGUUUUUGGUGAUACAGACUCAGACAAUGAAGUAGAAGUGGGUAAAAAGAGGAGAUGCAGCAGUAUCUCCUCUGCACCAGCACCACCUAUUCCUCCACCUACUCCUGACAUACCCUCUGAUUCAGCUUGCCAGACCUCUGCUGGACCUCUGCUAAACCUGAGGCAUACUGAAUAUCCCUGUUUUACCACUGCACCACCUGCCCCCAUUACGACACUUGGCAUGCCUUCCAGUCCUCUUCACUUCUCCAUUAGACAUUCUGAACACGGCCGUUACACAGCUCCAGUGCAUGCAGUUACCACCCCCAUCUCUCACAUGCCCUCAAGCUCUAUGAGCCAGGUCUCUGCUACACCUCUUUCAGAAGAACAUCAAGACCAUUCAUGUAACCCCCGGUUUAGACUGGGGAGGACAGGCACUGGACCUAUUCCUUGCUCUGCCGCUCAACUGCACAUCCUAACACUGUUGGAACAUAUCAAGGAACAGCAGAUGCAGCUUGCUGCUACCGUUAAUAAUCCUGCUGCACGUAUGGCGACAGACACGGCUGUGGCUGAAAUGCCUCCCAAUGUCAGUUUGCCACUGGCCACCAUGUCUGAAGUUGAGGAGUUGGAGGACUGGCUUAAAGAUUCAAGAAACUCGCAGGCUAAGCAAAACAUGAUUUCUGCUCUGGGUGCUACAGGAGGACAAAAUGCUAAACGAGUCACAUGGAACAUACUUUCAAGGCUUUUCUCAGAUGCAGUAGCCAAAAAAAUAAACUGGAAAGGAGUUAAUGGGAAGAAGUGCUUUAAAGAAACGCACACAAGAAGUUUGCU
Molecule: long non-coding RNA, 831 nt
Organism: Brienomyrus brachyistius
Lineage: Eukaryota; Metazoa; Chordata; Actinopteri; Osteoglossiformes; Mormyridae
Exons: 6
Source: RefSeq, a predicted model, not a curated record